CUCUCGGCAAUGGAUAUCUCGGCUCUUGCAUCGAUGAAGAACGUAGUGAAAUGCGAUACUUGGUGUGAAUUGCAGAAUCUCGUGAACCAUUGAGUCUUUGAACGCAAGUUGUGCCCGGAGCCUUGUGGCCGAGGGCACGCCUGCUUGGGCGUCAUGGC
This 158-nucleotide ribosomal RNA is filed under the name Boesenbergia aurantiaca. RNAcentral's name for it is "5.8S ribosomal RNA". It matches the Rfam family "5.8S ribosomal RNA". Rfam says of the family: 5.8S ribosomal RNA (5.8S rRNA) is a component of the large subunit of the eukaryotic ribosome. It is transcribed by RNA polymerase I as part of the 45S precursor that also contains 18S and 28S rRNA. The record is from RNAcentral. Lineage: Eukaryota; Viridiplantae; Streptophyta; Magnoliopsida; Zingiberales; Zingiberaceae.